CUCCUCUAAUUACACAUGUAUUUAGAAGUCCAACACGUCUUGUAAUUACACUUAAUAAAGUGUUAUUUGAAUAGAACUAUUAAGAAAAUUAAAUUCCAGCCAACUAUUUUCUCUCGGCAACAGGCAACAACUCCAAAUUAAUGUUUCUACUUUUUAGACCUAUAUAUAAUCUCUUUUUUUUUGCUUUGCACCGCAACAAAUGUGCUAAAGUUUCUAUUUGGCGCCAAAAACUCCAAUAAUUGUGGCAACAACCGAAAACAGAAGUGAAAAAUAGGACAAAUUAGGCACUAAGAUGGCCUGACCCAAGUAGGGUUGGGAAAAUUAAAAGUUAGAAUAAACCAACUACUCUGCCUCUAGUGUCAAAAAGGAAAUAAUACUAUACUGUUUUAGUUAUUUCAGCCUUUAAUAUAUAUCUACUUGACCCUACCAAUCUAGGGUUUUUUUAUCCAAGAAGAAAUAUAUAUAUAUAUAGAGUUGAGCUGGAAUACUAUCAGUAGCAAACGGGCUCCGUUGCCACCCAUUUGUUUUCGAUGAUGGAGUCUCCAAAUCGACGAUCGGCACCGUUGAACAUAAUCUAUACUACUUGAAGUAUCUAGAAAUCAAAUUUUAUAUUUUUUCGAUAUUGUUCUCUGUCCAUCAAGUGGGCGUAAAAAUGAAUGGCUGAAAAUGAAUAUCCUCUAAAAAGUGAUGAUAGAAAUUUUGUAAUCAUGAUCGAGAAUAUAGAUCUUGUUCUAAAUAGUUUAAAGAAUUUUCUAACCAAAAUUCAAUUGAUUUGGAUAGCUUUACACCGUUAAACGAGAAAACCCCUCAUAUCAACCAUUAAAAUUACUAAUUUUGAAACCCUUUGAUCAUUAGGUAAAUGAUGUUGAAAAGAUUUGAAAUUUAAUUUCUAAAUACUUCAAGUGAUAUAGAUCAUGUUCAAUGGUGCCGAUCGUCGAUAUGAAAGCUCCAUCAUCGAAAACAAAUGGGUGGCAACGGAGCCCGUUUGCUACCGAUAGCAUUCUAGCUCAACUCUAUA
Molecule: long non-coding RNA, 1018 nt
Filed under: Ananas comosus (pineapple)
Lineage: Eukaryota; Viridiplantae; Streptophyta; Magnoliopsida; Poales; Bromeliaceae
Description: long non-coding RNA (ACOM_LNC007253)
Source: RNAcentral